GAUGAACGCUGGCGGCGUGCCUAAUACAUGCAAGUCGAGCGAACAGACGAGGAGCUUGCUCCUCUGACGCUAGCGGCGGACGGGUGAGUAACACGUGGAUAACCUACCUAUAAGACUGGGAUAACUUCGGGAAACCGGAGCUAAUACCGGAUAAUAUAUUGAACCGCAUGGUUCAAUAGUGAAAGACGGUUUUGCUGUCACUUAUAGAUGGAUCCGCGCCGCAUUAGCUAGUUGGUAAGGUAACGGCUUACCAAGGCAACGAUGCGUAGCCGACCUGAGAGGGUGAUCGGCCACACUGGAACUGAGACACGGUCCAGACUCCUACGGGAGGCAGCAGUAGGGAAUCUUCCGCAAUGGGCGAAAGCCUGACGGAGCAACGCCGCGUGAGUGAUGAAGGUCUUCGGAUCGUAAAACUCUGUUAUUAGGGAAGAACAAAUGUGAAAGUAACUAUGCACGUCUUGACGGUACCUAAUCAGAAAGCCACGGCUAACUACGUG
RNAcentral lists this ribosomal RNA (497 nucleotides) under uncultured bacterium. RNAcentral's name for it is "partial 16S ribosomal RNA". It matches the Rfam family "Bacterial small subunit ribosomal RNA", at positions 28 to 507 of the family's 1533-position model. The record is from RNAcentral.